RNAcentral lists this ribosomal RNA (258 nucleotides) under uncultured bacterium. Its description in RNAcentral is "partial 16S ribosomal RNA". It matches the Rfam family "Bacterial small subunit ribosomal RNA", at positions 75 to 334 of the family's 1533-position model. The record is from RNAcentral.
CUUGCUUUCUUUGCUGGCGACCGGCGCACGGGUGAGUAACACGUAUCCAACCUGCCCUUUACUCGGGGAUAGCCUUUCGAAAGAAAGAUUAAUACCCGAUAGCAUAAUGAUUCCGCAUGGUUUCAUUAUUAAAGGAUUCCGGUAAAGGAUGGGGAUGCGUUCCAUUAGGUUGUUGGUGGGGUAACGGCCCACCAAGCCUUCGAUGGAUAGGGGUUUUGAGAGGAAGGUCCCCCACAUUGGAACUGAGACACGGUCCAA